This 324-nucleotide ribosomal RNA is filed under the name uncultured eukaryote. RNAcentral's name for it is "partial 18S ribosomal RNA". It matches the Rfam family "Eukaryotic small subunit ribosomal RNA", at positions 1470 to 1796 of the family's 1831-position model. The record is from RNAcentral.
CCCUUAGAUGUUCUGGGCUGCACGCGCGCUACACUGAAGCUAUCAACACGUUUUCCCUCCCUGAGAAGGGCGGGUCACCUUUUGAAUCAGCUUCGUGGUAGGGAUCGGGGCUUGCAAUUGUUCCCCGUGAACCAGGAAUUCCUAGUAGACGCGAGUCAUAAGCUCGCAUCGAUUAAGUCCCUGCCCUUUGUACACACCGCCCGUCGCUACUACCGAUUGAACGUUUUAGUGAGGCAUUUGGACCGACGCAUCUCAGUUUAACCGCUGGUUUGUGUUGGAAAGACUUCCAAACUUGAGCGUUUAGAGGAAGUAAAAGUCGUAACA